GGAAUCUUGGGGGUAGAGUCGGUGGUAAUAGGGGGUGGUGAAGCUUUAGACGGAUUUAGUGGGGUUGAGGGGUGUGUAGGUUGGUUGGUAAGUCAAUGGUGAAAUCUCCGGGCUUAACUCGGAAACUGACAUUGGUACUAUCAGUCUUGAAUAUCGUGGAGGUCAGUAGAAUAUGUCAUGUAGCGGUGAAAUGCGUAGAUAUGACAUAGAAUACCAAUUGCGAAGGCAGCUGGCUACACGAAUAUUGACACUCAGGCACGAAAGCGUGGGGAUCAAACAGGAUUAGAUACCCUGGUAGUC
Molecule: ribosomal RNA, 300 nt
Filed under: uncultured Methanobrevibacter sp.
Lineage: Archaea; Methanobacteriati; Methanobacteriota; Methanobacteria; Methanobacteriales; Methanobacteriaceae
Description: bacterial SSU rRNA
Rfam family: Bacterial small subunit ribosomal RNA (bases 52-300)
Source: RNAcentral